Molecule: ribosomal RNA, 253 nt
Filed under: uncultured bacterium
Lineage: Bacteria
Description: partial 16S ribosomal RNA
Rfam family: Bacterial small subunit ribosomal RNA
Source: RNAcentral
UACGUAGGUGGCAAGCGUUGUCCGGAAUUAUUGGGCGUAAAGCGCGCGCAGGCGGUCCUUUAAGUCUGAUGUGAAAGCCCACGGCUCAACCGUGGAGGGUCAUUGGAAACUGGGGGACUUGAGUACAGAAGAGAAGAGUGGAAUUCCACGUGUAGCGGUGAAAUGCGUAGAGAUGUGGAGGAACACCAGUGGCGAAGGCGGCUUCCUGGCCCAUUACUGACGUUCAGGUACGAAAGCGUGGGUAGCAAACAGG